Molecule: non-coding RNA, 72 nt
Organism: Paramuricea clavata
Lineage: Eukaryota; Metazoa; Cnidaria; Anthozoa; Malacalcyonacea; Plexauridae
Source: the annotation of a GenBank genome assembly
GACCGCGUAGCUCAGUUGACAGAGCAUUGGGCUGGUAUUGCAGGGUCGUGGGUUCGGUUCCCGCCGUGGUCA